ACUCACUCCAUCCUGCCACCCUGCGAGGAAGGUGCCUGCUUCUUCUUUGCCUUCCGCCGUGAGUGUGAGUCUCCUGAGGCCUCCCCAGCAAUGUGGAACUGAUACGUCAUGGAACAGAGGGCAACCUGCCUCCUGGAAAUGUGGAGUGUCUAGGGAGUCACAGCUGAGAUCUUCCUUGGAUUAAAGGCUGCGGGUGUCACAAACAGGAAAACAUUCUUGCUAAAAAAAGAUUGUUGGGACUUACCAAGGUGGCUGAAUAGGAACAGCUUCUGUCUGCAGCUCCCAGGGAGAUGAAUGCAGAAGGAUGCUGUAACAACACCAUAAACUUUCAAACAACUCUAUUUCCUACGGUUCUGGAGGCUGGAAGUCCACAAUCAAAGUGUCAUGUUGUCAGGUUGUGGUGAGGGCCCUCUUUUGGGUGUAGAUUGCUAACUUUUCUGUAUGUGUUCACAUGGCAGAAAGAGAUUGAGCUAGCUCUUGGAUCCUUUCUUAUAAGGGCACCAAUCCCAAUACAGAGGCUUCACUCUCAUGACAUAAUUGUCUCCCAAAGACUCUACCUCCAAAUAUUAUCAAUCACAUUAGGGGAUAGAUUUUAACACAUGAUUUUGGGGGGAACACAUUCAGUCCAUAACAUUUCUUGAGUCUUCUUCUAGGACCCAUAGGUUAUUUUAAAAGUGGCUUGUUCAGUUCCAAGUGUUUGAAGAUUUUUUUUUUCUGUUAUCUUUAACUUACUGAUUUCUAGAUAGACCCCAUUGUGCUCAGAGAACACUCCUUAUGUGAUUUCAAUUAUUUUAAAUUUGUUGAGAUUUUAUGACUUAGUAUGUCAUCUGUCUUGGUGUGUAUUCUGUGGGGGGGAUGGGGGGUGCUUGAAAAACGGGUAUUCUGCUAUUAUAGAAUGUCAAAAUAUCAACUGUAAUAAACAAGAAAAAUAAUCCUAGUCUUUUAUUUAAGGGCCCUCUUUAGUCCAUCUCAACAGACCCUUCUCCGAAGGGGAAAGAAAUGCAGCUCACAAGAGCCCAUUAAACAACUAAAACAAGACAAAAUAAAACAACUACCCCCUGCCAAUUUGCACACUGUUACUUCUUUUGUUUUCCCAAUCUUAUUUCUUCUUCUUUUUUAUAAUAAAAAAUUUCAAAGCAAU
Molecule: long non-coding RNA, 1141 nt
Filed under: Homo sapiens (human)
Lineage: Eukaryota; Metazoa; Chordata; Mammalia; Primates; Hominidae
Description: uncharacterized LOC105373438, transcript variant 3 (LOC105373438)
Source: RNAcentral